Non-coding RNA from Gekko japonicus, 72 nucleotides. The record is from the annotation of a RefSeq genome assembly. Lineage: Eukaryota; Metazoa; Chordata; Lepidosauria; Squamata; Gekkonidae.
GAGGCUGUGGCUCAGUGGUAGAGCAUCAGUUUUGAACGCAGAAGGUCCCAGGUUCAAACCCUGGCAUCUCUA